AAUAUCUUGGGACUUUGUUAAAAUGCAGAUUCUGAUUCUCCAAGUCCAGGGUGAGCCAUAAGAUUCUGCAUUUCUAACAAGCUCUUAGGUGAUGCAGA
Molecule: microRNA precursor, 98 nt
Filed under: Equus asinus (donkey)
Lineage: Eukaryota; Metazoa; Chordata; Mammalia; Perissodactyla; Equidae
Also listed under: 1 other name
Description: mir-544 microRNA precursor family
Rfam family: mir-544 microRNA precursor family
Source: Rfam by way of RNAcentral